This is a non-coding RNA of Podarcis lilfordi (Lilford's wall lizard), 68 nucleotides long. Lineage: Eukaryota; Metazoa; Chordata; Lepidosauria; Squamata; Lacertidae. The record is from the annotation of a GenBank genome assembly.
GAAUAGCUCAGUUGGUAGAGCAUGAGACUCUUAAAACAGGGUCGUGGGUGUGAGCCCCAUGUUGGACA